AUUGAACGCUGGUGGCAGGCCUAACACAUGCAAGUCGAGCGGAGCGGCGGACGGGUGAGUAAUGCCUAGGAAUCUGCCUGGUAGUGGGGGAUAACGUCCGGAAACGGGCGCUAAUACCGCAUACUAUCAGAUGAGCCUAGGUCGGAUUAGCUAGUUGGUGGGGUAAAGGCCUACCAAGGCGACGAUCCGUAACUGGUCUGAGAGGAUGAUCAGUCACACUGAGACUAAGACACGGUCCAGACUCCUACGUGGGGCAGCCGUGGGGAAUAUUGGACAAUGGGCGAGAGCCUGAUCCAGCCAUGCCGCGUGUGUGAAGAAGGUCGUCGGAUUGUAAAGCACUUUAAGUUGGGAGGCAUUGCCAACAGAGUGAGCACCGGCUUACUUCGUGCCAGCGGCCGCGGUGAUAC
RNAcentral lists this ribosomal RNA (407 nucleotides) under uncultured bacterium. Its description in RNAcentral is "partial 16S ribosomal RNA". It matches the Rfam family "Bacterial small subunit ribosomal RNA", at positions 30 to 526 of the family's 1533-position model. The record is from RNAcentral.